GAGUGGUGCUACACCUAUUUGGUUUGGUUUUUAAUGGCCUCAUUUGGCAAAACAAUCAUUAUCUAUUCUAAGUUCUCAGAUUUAUCAAACUUAUACUGGACCCUGACAUCCAAAACUCAGAGCCACUGAUUUGGGAUGAAGUCCAGUUCCUUGGUGUGAUGUUCUAGCCCUUCUCCAUUUGCCCAGCCUCCUGUUCUUCCCUGCCCUCACCCAGCUCUCUGACCUGACCGUGGACUCUUCUUUGUCCCCAGGCCUUUGGGCCUCAUCUUUCUAGCCCCAUUUCCACGGUUCAUAAUCCUAUCCAGAUGCCACCUCCUGGGAGAAACCACCCCAUCUGUGGCCUCUUCCACUGAGUGCCCAGAACACACAGUCCCUUACACACCUGUACUUUGGAGUGUGCGUGGUCUGGUGAGCUGUGGAGUGACUGUCAUCUUUCUCUAUUCCUCAAUUCUGGAACACAGUGGGCAUGAAGAACUGGGUUGGUGUUAGGACUUCUGUACCCUUUGGGUCAUAUUUCUGUGUCAGUUCAUGUCAUAUAUUUCUUUUUUUUUUGUUUUUUAUUCUAAUUUGUUAUAUAUGACAGUAGGAUGCAUUACAAUUCAUAUUACACAUAUAGAGCACAAUUUUUCAUGUCUCUGGUUGUACACAAAGUAGAAUCACACCAUUCAUGUCUUCAUACAUGUACUUAGGGUAACAAUGUCCUUCUCAUU
This 710-nucleotide long non-coding RNA is filed under the name Marmota monax (woodchuck). Lineage: Eukaryota; Metazoa; Chordata; Mammalia; Rodentia; Sciuridae. The record is from RNAcentral.